Non-coding RNA from Microcebus murinus (gray mouse lemur), 399 nucleotides. The record is from the annotation of a RefSeq genome assembly. Lineage: Eukaryota; Metazoa; Chordata; Mammalia; Primates; Cheirogaleidae.
AUGCUUCCGUUGCUCAUCCCAGUACUGGGAAUGAUUUUUGCCCUGAGAGAUGCCGGUGCCCAGUCAGUGACCCAGCCUGACGGCCAUGUCACUGUCUCUGAAGAAUACUCCCUGGAGUUGAGAUGCAACUAUUCCUACGGUGGAGCUUUUUAUCUCUUCUGGUAUGUCCAGUACCCUGGCCAAGGCCUCCAGCUUCUCCUUCAGUACUACUCAGGGAACACCCUGGUUAAAGGCAUCAAAGGCUUUGAGGCUGAAGUCAGGAAGGACGAAUCUUCCUUCACCCUGAGGAAACCCCGUGUGCACUGGAGUGACACAGCUGAGUACUUCUGUGCUCUGAGUGCCACAGUGCCUGGGACUGCAGGGGGAGCUGAACACAAACUUUGUGAGAGAGAAUUCUAG